This 492-nucleotide ribosomal RNA is filed under the name uncultured bacterium. RNAcentral's name for it is "partial 16S ribosomal RNA". It matches the Rfam family "Bacterial small subunit ribosomal RNA", at positions 29 to 507 of the family's 1533-position model. The record is from RNAcentral.
AGUGAACGCUGGCGGUAGGCCUAACACAUGCAAGUCGAACGGCAGGACAGUAAGAGCUUGCUCUUACGGGUGGCGAGUGGCGGACGGGUGAGGAAUACAUCGGAAUCUACUUUUUCGUGGGGGAUAACGUAGGGAAACUUACGCUAAUACCGCAUACGACCUACGGGUGAAAGCAGGGGAUCUUCGGACCUUGCGCGAUUGAAUGAGCCGAUGUCGGAUUAGCUAGUUGGCGGGGUAAAGGCCCACCAAGGCGACGAUCCGUAGCUGGUCUGAGAGGAUGAUCAGCCACACUGGAACUGAGACACGGGCCAGACUCCUACGGGAGGCAGCAGUGGGGAAUAUUGGACAAAGGGCGCAAGCCUGAUCCAGCCAUACCGCGUGGGUGAAGAAGGCCUUCGGGUUGUAAAGCCCUUUUGUUGGGAAAGAAAAGCAGCAGGUUAAUACCCCGCUGUUCUGACGGUACCCAAAGAAUAAGCACCGGCUAACUUCGUG